This 433-nucleotide ribosomal RNA is filed under the name uncultured bacterium. Its description in RNAcentral is "partial 16S ribosomal RNA". It matches the Rfam family "Bacterial small subunit ribosomal RNA", at positions 29 to 507 of the family's 1533-position model. The record is from RNAcentral.
AACGAACGCUGGCGGCAUGCCUAACACAUGCAAUUCGAACGAGACCUUCGGGUCUAGUGGCGCACGGGUGCGUAACGCGUUGGAACCUGCCCUUAGGUUCGGAAUAACUCCCCGAAAUGGGUGCUAAUACCGGAUAAUUUCUUCGGACCAAAGAUUUAUCGCCUUUGGAUGGGCCCGCGUUGGAUUAGCUAGUUGGUAGGGUAAAAGCCUACCAAGGCGACGAUCCAUAGCUGGUCUGAGAGGAUGAUCAGCCACACUGGGACUGAGACACGGCCCAGACUCCUACGGGAGGCAGAAGUGGGGAAUAUUGGACAAUGGGCGAAAGCCUGAUCCAGCAAUGCCGCGUGAGUGAUGAAGGCCUUAGGGUUGUAAAGCUCUUUUACCCGGGAUGAUAAUGACAGUACCGGGAGAAUAAGCUCCGGCUAACUCCGUG